UGCUUGUAAAAACUACUAGAAUACUAGAUUAUUAUUUAUUUUCUGAUCAUUUAAUUUCUGUUUCUUUCUCAAAUAGUCAUAACUGUCAUUGUAACAUGCCAAGAAUCUUCCAUUCUCCAUGAUUAAUAAAACUCUAAUCUCCAUCCAGUGUAUGUUUCUGCAAGAAAAAAUGAUAAUGCAAUGAAUGUUAUUAAAAAAAAGUGUAAAAUUUAGUGAUUUUUAUAUUAAAAACUUUAUAUAAAGCCCUAUGUUGUGCUUAUACAUGAUUUUAGUUACUGUAAAUUCAGAAAUGAUUGAGAUGUUUUUAUUAUUAUGAAAAAUGCGACAGGGCUAUAAUUGCAAUAAUUCUUUAUAUGAAUUAAACAAGAUUUUUAACAAUAUCGCAUUAAAACCGCAUUUCAGUCUUAAAUGAAAAAAUCGCAAUAAUUAAUGCACGCAAUAAUUUCUGAAUAUACAGUACUUUAUCCUGCCAGGACUAAAAUCCAGGAUUUCUGGUUAUCUGAAUAGUGUAGUAACAUAAGUAAUACAUGAUCUUUUCCCUCUGGAAAGUUUUCAGUGGUAGUUGUUUGUCGUAAUUGUUUCAUCAUUGAUCAGGUUGUUGAUUUCUUAGUUUGAUUUUUUUCCCCAUUUUAUCAUGAAGGGGCCUUUAACAGCUUACUAUUCAGUAUGUUUUUUUCUGGAAAUCUCAUUGUAGAAGACUGUAUAAUGACCUAUAGUUGCUUACAUCCAUGUCAUUUGGUUACAAGUGGACACUUGUUUAAUUAGCAAUUCUCCUCAUUUCAUAAGCAAUUUUAGAUCCACUGCUCUUUCUUACAAAAUAUGUACUAAACCAAACCAUUCUCAGAAAUCUAUAUGCAAAUGUUUUCUUGGUCAAGUUAGUUAUGUUCUGGUAAAGCCUUGUAUACUUUUGCUUAAACAACAAAAACUUUGAAUUUCUUAUUGAUAAACUCACAAUAUUUACAAAUUAACAACCUACUACAAAACUUGUCAAAUGGUAAACACUUUCCAACACAGUGAAAUUGAUCUAAUAAAAUGGCACAGACGUAAAGAGUCUUCUUUGUUGAUUAUUUUUCAAAUUUUAAUGGAACAUUGAAUGAUCUAAUAUAAUUGAGAAUGAAAAUGAAGAAUGUGUCAGAGACAACCUUACCAUAGAGAAGAUAACUUACCUCUUCAAACAAUGGUUUACUUUUCUUGAACAUUGCAGUUAAAAAGCAUCUUUUUCUUAUCCACCGGCUUCUUAAGCUGAACACAAAUUCAGAACCUGAAAU
Molecule: long non-coding RNA, 1268 nt
Filed under: Mytilus galloprovincialis (Mediterranean mussel)
Lineage: Eukaryota; Metazoa; Mollusca; Bivalvia; Mytilida; Mytilidae
Source: RNAcentral